This 468-nucleotide ribosomal RNA is filed under the name uncultured bacterium. RNAcentral's name for it is "partial 16S ribosomal RNA". It matches the Rfam family "Bacterial small subunit ribosomal RNA", at positions 28 to 507 of the family's 1533-position model. The record is from RNAcentral.
GACGAACGCUGGCGGCGUGCUUAACACAUGCAAGUCGAACGGAAAGGCCCUGCUUGUGUGGGGUGAUCGGGGGGCGAACGGGUAAGUAACACGUAAGUAACCUGCCCUUGUCUUUGGGAUAACUUAAGGAAAGUGGAGUUACUCCCAUAUAGGAGCUCCUCCUGCGUUGUGGGGGUUGGAUAUUCGGGGCGGUCGGGGAUGGACGCGCGGCUUAUCAGCUUGUUGGUGGGGUAGUGGCUUACCAAGGCUUUGUCGGGUAGCCGGCCUGAGAGGGUGACCGGCCACAAUGGGACUGAGAGACGGACCAGACUCCUACGGGAGGCAGCAGUGGGGAAUAUUGCACAAUGGGCGGAAGCCUGAUGCAGCAACGCCGCGUGCGGGAUGACGGCCUUCGGGUUGUAAACCGCUUUCGGUUGUGACGAAGCGUGAGUGACGGUAAUGAGAGAAGAAGCACCGGCUAACUACGUG